Molecule: ribosomal RNA, 263 nt
Filed under: uncultured bacterium
Lineage: Bacteria
Description: partial 16S ribosomal RNA
Rfam family: Bacterial small subunit ribosomal RNA
Source: RNAcentral
GUCCUAGCCUUAAACGAUGCAUACUAGAAGUAGGAGGGCUCAACCCUUUCUGUUUCGGAGCUAACGCGUUAAGUAUGCCGCCUGGGGAGUACGCUCGCAAGGGUGAAACUCAAAAGAAUUGACGGGGGCCCGCACAAGCAGUGGAGCAUGUGGUUUAAUUCGAUGCAACGCGAAGAACCUUACCUGGGCUCGAAAUGUAGAGGACGUUACAAGAGAUUGUAAUUCCCGUAAGGGUCUCUAUAUAGGUGCUGCAUGGCUGUCGU